UAGCUUUAAGACUGGGACUGCAUACUCGGGAAGAAGGCUGGACCCGGGAGCCGUCCUCAGCCGCCCCAGGCUCCUCCCCGGCGGGGAGCCGCAGCUCCGGCUCUCUGGGGUGUGCGCCUGCCCGCCCUCCUGCCUUCCUUGCCCUCCCACCCCUAGUCUACUGCUAGAGCCGCGUCCUCCCGGGGCAGAGCUCGUGUGCGCGGUCUUUGUGCUGUCUGCGGGAAUGAGGGUGGGAGAGGGUGGAGGAUGGGAUGGGCAGGCUGACCCGCCCGCGCGGACGCACUCUGGCGUCUAGUGGAGUGUGCAGUCCUUGCGGAUGCGCCCCCCCUGCCCACGGAGGUGGGGGGCCUGGGUCCCCGGUGUGAGCGGGAGGCGGGGCGAAGGAGGACGCGUGUCCUUGUCCCCGGGGUUUUAGGAAAGGCAAAGAGAAGGAGCGAGCCAACCCUUUCUAGUCAAGAAAGCCGUCCCCAUCUCUGGUCCAGAUGCUGGACGGGAGUCCACAAAACCUGCCAGCCCCCAAACAACGGCUGUCGGACCGCGGCCGGAGCGAGGGUGGGAGGACAGGCAGGGAGCCCCGUGGUGCCCGCCUUUCUCGCUCGGUCCCUCCCGCAGGCUGCCCUUCCAUCCCUCCCGGCCCCCAACAGCUUUCUAAGCCUUCCGCAGGGCCGUGGCUGGGGCAGGCCGGGAAGGAAGGCGUGACCUCUUAGGGGUCUGGACCGCUUUCCUGGGGCGGUUGGUCGAGUACUAGCAGACCCAUUGGCUGGGGGAGGGCGAGAGAGGAGGGACGCGAACUCUCGAGUAGCCUCGUGUCACUCUCCUGCGGGCGGGAACUCGGACUCUCCCUCCCCCACUCGCGUCCUCCUGGCUUCUGACCUGGGAGCCAGACAUCCGUUUCCACACACGCGCUUUUCUCCAUUUCUCUCUCCCUUUGUUCCGUCCUGCGCCGUUUACUACCCUGGCUGCCUUCCUCCCACCGGGGUCAGCCCCUCGCUUUACAGUUGCCUCACAGCCUCCAGGGUUCAGACUCCCAUUCUAAAGCGAUCCAUCUUUCCGGGCCGGGAUGACGAGGCUUUUACACAUCUCCAAAAUCGCAAACAUGUGAGCACUUUGAAACGAACAAAGCGCUCCACUAGCAGCCAAGUAUCCCAGUGGCCCCAGAGAUGCUGAUCUUGGGAAUGAGAAUUCAGUUACUUUCUCUGCCCGAACUCCGGAGGAGAUAAAGUGGUUAAUUUCUAUUCAUCACUUUCAUCACGCCGGGUAGAGAUAGGAUCUCGAAGGGAAGUCCACUCGAGAGCCGAUUUGGAGGGUAGGGUGCUGAUAAUGCCCCUGAGGGCACUGAGUGAAACAAGUCACAGAAAUCUCUUCAAAGCAGCUAGUAAAGAGCCCCACUUUCUAAACAGAAAGAUAGUCCCAGUUUACUCAUCUCCUCAAGAAAUGAGCAGCAGAAUGAUUUCAGAGAAGCCCGAAG
Molecule: long non-coding RNA, 1468 nt
Organism: Sarcophilus harrisii (Tasmanian devil)
Lineage: Eukaryota; Metazoa; Chordata; Mammalia; Dasyuromorphia; Dasyuridae
Exons: 3
Source: RefSeq, a predicted model, not a curated record